CAGUCAAUUGAUUGCAUGCUAAUUUUUUUGCAUUGAUAGGUCGAAAUUGAUUCUUAGCCUCGGUCUCAAACUCCUCCUAGUCACAAAAUCCGCUGUCGUAUUAUAUGGCAUUUGGCUUGAAAAUGCAUCAGACACUUGGCUCUAAAAAAUAAAAGAAAAUUGAAACAACAAUCCCUAAAAACUUUAAUAGAUUCUUAUACAAAUUACAAUUAAACAUUAGUAAUUAUAAUCAAAUAUCAAUCAAAUUCAAUCAAAAUUUUAAAAGAAUUAUGUAAGAAAUACAAUGUAUUCCUAGAGAUCCUUUAAAGAAUCAUAAAGAAAGAACAUAGAAAUUCAAAAAAAUAUACUAAAAUAGAAAUUUUAAUAAAAAAUUAAAAUAAAAAUCUUAAUUAAAUCCUAGUCAAAAUCUAAUCAAAUUCUAGUCAAAUUCUAGUCAAAUCCUAAUCAAAUCCUAAAUAAAAUCUAAUCAAAUUCUAACAAACUCUAACCAAAUUCUAAUCAAAUUCUAAACAAACCUUAACCAAAUCUUAAGCAAAUCCUAAAAAAUCCUAAAUAAAAUCUAAUCAAAUUCUAACAAACUCUAACCAAAUUCUAAUCAAAUUCUAAACAAACCUUAACCAAAUCUUAACCAAAUCCUAACAAAUCCUAAAUAAAUCCUAAUCAAAUCCUAAUCAAAAUCUAAACAAACUCUAAAUAAAUCCUAAUCAAAUCCUAAAUAAAUCCUAACCAAAUCCUAACAAAUCCUAAAUAAAUCCUAAUCAAAUCUUAAUCAAAAUCUAAACAAACUUUAAAUAAAUCUUAAUAAAAUCCUAAAAAAAUCCUAACCAAAUCCUAAUCAAAUUCUAGACAAACCUUAACCAAAUCCUACUCAAACUCUAAACAAACCUUAACCAAAUCCUAAUCAAAUCCUAGACAAAUCUUAACCAAAUUCUAAUUAAAUCCAAAACAAAUCUUAACCAAAUCUUAAUCAAAUCUUAAAUAAAUUCUAAAAAAAUCAUAACCAAAUCUUAAUCAAAUCCUAAAAAAAUCCUAAAAAAAUCCUAAAAAAAUCCUAAUCAAAUCCUAAACAAAUCUUAACUUAAUUCUAAAUAAAUCCUAAAAAAAUCCUAACCAAAUUUUAAAUAAAUCUUAACCGAAUCCUAACCAAAUCCUAACCAAAUCCUAAUCAAAUCCUAAAAAAA
RNAcentral lists this long non-coding RNA (1181 nucleotides) under Physcomitrium patens. Its description in RNAcentral is "long non-coding RNA (PPAT_LNC014351)". The record is from RNAcentral. Lineage: Eukaryota; Viridiplantae; Streptophyta; Bryopsida; Funariales; Funariaceae.